RNA transcript from Spinacia oleracea (spinach), 2149 nucleotides. RefSeq lists it as uncharacterized. The transcript is spliced from 3 exons. NCBI's taxonomy places the organism in Eukaryota, Viridiplantae, Streptophyta, Magnoliopsida, Caryophyllales, Amaranthaceae. The record is from RefSeq and is a predicted model, not a curated record.
ACGACCAUCCUCAAAUAAUCUUCUCUCAUAAAUUUUACAGUCUCUCUCUCUCCUCAGAAAACCCUCUCUCAGAAAAUGGGGAAUGAGAAAUCGAAACCGAGGUGGUGAUCCACCGUCGCCAACGAUGAAUGUGGAGUCAUCAUCAUCACGUGUGCCAAAUUCUUUGGCGUCAAUCACUGGAUUGGAGAUCACGACAGUGUUGACGUCAAGAACGUCGACGAUUCGGCGAACGACGUCGUCGAGCAGCCGUAUACGACGGAGUUCUCUCGAGCGCUUCUCUGGAACCGCACCACUGAUAGACCACUUAUUAAGAUUCAAUUCAAAAGGGGAAUCCACUGAUAAAACUAGUUUAAGGAGAUUCCCCGUGCGAAGAAGUUCUUCUCUCAUUCCAAAAAGUAAAUCUAGUUCUUGAAUUACUUACUUUGAUUCCUGUUUUUGAUUUAAUUCAUCAAUUGCUUAAUCCCACUCCAAAAAUUGCAUUUUUUUCAUCAAAUUUUGACGAAAUUAUGGCAAUGAAAAACAUUACAUUGGUUUCCAGCAGUUGGGUAUUGUUCAAUUAAGAAGGAGAGAGUAAAAUUUGGAAUUGGAUAAGUAUUCGAUUCUUAGACGUUUGAGGAUUCAUGCUAGGGAUUUGAGAAUUUUGGAUCCUCUGUUGUCAUAUCCUUUAAUUAUUCUGGGCAGAGAAAGAGCUAUUAUCGUGAAUUUGGAGAUAUAAUUUCUUGCAUAAUUUUGUCAUUUUCAAUAUUUUUGGGUAUUUUCUGGUGUUAAUUUUUGAUUUUUUUGUGGGUUUGUAUGAUUUCAGCAUAUCAAAGCAAUUAUCACUACAGAGGAGGCAAUGCUUCGUUUUCAAUCAUUAUAAAACACUCUCUAAUUAUUUAUAUAUUAAUGAUCAAGACAAGGUUGUUGAUGAUCCAAUUUGCAAAAUAAGGUCCAAAUGCUAAGAAAAUGUAAGAAUUAAAAAUUAACAAAAUAAAAUUUGACAGUUUUCAUUGAAUUUGUUUCCUGCUUUGUUUUUCAAUUAAUUAGUUUGGGUAAUUUGCGUUUCCUUUUUUUUUUUCAAUUACAGAGUAAUUAGUUUGGGUAUCUUUAAUUUGAUGUUUAUAAGAUGUGGGUAUCUUUAAUUUGAUGUUUAUAAGGUGUGGGUAUCUUUACUUUUUAAUUUUUUUUUCUCUGUAUUAGUGAUCAAAAUUGUAUGUUAUUGCUUUGAUAUAUGUUGCAGUUAUUGGCAUGGGGUUCUUGUGGAAAUAGAUGUUGAAUAAUAAAGAUAGUAGAAGGUGAAGCUAUAGCUAGAAUUUUUAUGGAUAGCUUAUGUUGCUUUAGUUUAGUUUCUCAGGUAAGGGAUUAAUCUAUUUGUGGUAUUUGCUCUUAAUUUUUGAGUUUUAUGAGUUCCAUUAAUGUUUAUAUAAGCUGUUAAAUAUUUUGGGCAUCUUUAAUUAAUGAUGGUUGAUUAUAUAUACUUCGUAUGUUGUAAUUGAUCAACAAUUGAUGAAACACAGUGCAUGGAUCAGACUGUAUUUUAUGCUGUUAACAACAAGUUAAGGUUUUUUCCUUUUUCUGGUGGUGGGGGUGGUGGUAGUGGUGGGGAGGGGGGGGGGGGGGGGGGAGGGGGAGUACAAGAAAAUACAAAUUUCUUGGUGAGGAAGAGUUAUGUACAAAUUUAUUGAUUUUGAUGCCAAUUUCGUUGCUUAAUUUUGUUAAUUUUGCUUUAUUCAAAGUUUUAUAAUGCUUCAUUUGCUUGCAAUUUAAUUAAUUGAUGUUCAUUACUUUAAUCGUAUUUCUACAAUGCAUCUGGAUGCUUAGAGUUACCAUUGACUGGAAGCUUGCGAAUGGUAGAGGUCAUGGGUAUUAGUGAAUGUGUUGAUUGUCAGCAGAACAAUAUCAAGCACAUCCAUGCUUAUGAAGAGUUACCAUUGAUUGCAAGCUUGCGAAUGGUGAGGUGAAAACAAGAGGGGAAGGGAAGCUUGAUAAAGAUGAGAAGUUUAGAAUAGAUUUUCCAUAUGGACCUACCAAUGGAGAAUCAUUUUUCUGUUCGUUUGUGUAUUUCCUAAUCAAAUGGCUGUGAAAAAAGCUGUAGAAUUUUUUUCAAAGAGUUUGAUUGAUGAAGUUCAUAAAUGGGGUUAAUGAAACAAAAUGGAGUAACUCUUAGGUA